This is a long non-coding RNA of Serinus canaria (Common canary), 2005 nucleotides long. RefSeq lists it as uncharacterized. The transcript has 3 exons. The record is from RefSeq and is a predicted model, not a curated record. Lineage: Eukaryota; Metazoa; Chordata; Aves; Passeriformes; Fringillidae.
ACACCGCGGGGGGACACGGGGGGAAAACACCGGGGGGACACGGGGAGACACUGAGAACACGGCGGCGUGGGGACACCGCGGGGGGACACGGGGGGAAAACACCGGGGGGACACGGGGGGACACUGAGAACACGGCGGCGUGGGGACACCGCGGGGGGACACGGGGGGAAAACACCGGGGGGGGACACGGGGGGACACUGAGAACACGGCGGCGUGGGGACCCCGCGGGGGACACGGGGAGAAAACACCGGGGGGACACCGGGAGCGUGUGGCGUUGGGGACAUCUCCGAGUGGCUUUCGCUUCCCCGCGGCCCAACCUGUGGGAUUGCGGUCUGGGGACACCUCAUCAAAAUCCUCAAAGACUCUUUGGGGCUUUUCCGUUCCCUUUUCUCCCUUCCCCUUUUUUAUUUAUUUAUUUUUUAACAUUCUUCCCCUUUCUGAGCCCUUGGCUGGGUCCGGCUCUGCUUCAUCCGCGGGGACAGAAAUUUCCAGCGAGGAUUGGGGUGAAAAUGGGAUUUUCCCACUAUUUCCAUCAUUAAUUGAUUAUCCUGCCAGCGCCACGGGGACAGAGGCGCUCCCCGGGGCUGGGAAUUCGGCUUUUCCCGAAGCUCGGCGGGGCUGCUCUAGAUGGCAGCAGCCUCCUUCCCUUCCCCGAGCCAUUCCCCGCUCUUCAUCCUCCUCCUCCUCCUCCUCCCUCUCCCUUCCCCCCUCUCCAUCCAUGCCUGGGUGUCCCCCCGUGCAGUUCAGGUUUGGGGGGUUGGACAGGGCCUGGAGCGCCCUGGCACGGCAGAAUUGUCCCUGUCCUUGGAACGGGACAAGGUUCCUGCUCCUCCACCCAGCCCGCAGCUCCCACCCUGCUGAGGGACCCAAAAUUCCCCCCAGUCUGACCCACAAUUCCCCCCAGUCUGACCCAAAAUUCCCCCCAGUCUGACCCAAAACUCGGUGGAAUCCCAAAAUCCCAGUGACACCCUACAACCAGGUGACACUCUAUAAACCCAAUGACACCCCAAAAACCCGGUGAAAUCCCCCAAACCUGGUGAAAUACCAAAAACCCAGUGACAUCCCAAAAACCCGCUGAAAUCCCAAAACCCAGUGAAACCCCAAAAACUCCGUUAAACCCCAAAAACCCCGGUGAAACCCCAAAAACUCCGUUAAACCCCAAAAACCCCAGUGAAACCCCAAACCCCCGGCUGUCCUUGCCCAAGGACUCGCAGCUCCCGCCCCGCCGGGAGCGAUUUUGAGCGUGAAAACCUCGAGAGCAGCCAAGCGAAAAUCGCAUUUCCUGCAGCGGCUGCGGGAGGAGGGAGCGGCGGGAGCGGCGGGAGCGGAGGGAGCGGCGGGAGCGGAGCAGCGGCGGGAGCGGCGGGAGCGGCGGGAGAGGAGGGAGCGGAGCAGCGGCGGGAGCGGCGGAGGGAGCGGAGCGAACGGCGGGAGCGGAGCAGCGGCGUCAGCAGCGCCAGCACUGCCCACCCCAGGCAGCAGCUCCAGGUGACACCUGGACAUUCCAGAGGUGGAGGGGAUGGAAGUGAGCACAAGAAGAGGAGGAACUCCAGCUCUUGCUGGAGUCGGAUCUGAGGCGCCUGCAGCUCCUCGGAGACGCAGAUCUGGGAAUUGUUUCAGGAAGAAGCCGAGCGGGCACGGGAAGACCGGGAGAACAAGACACAUCACGUUCCCCAGAUGAUAAUGAGGGAAUGAAAUUAAACCACCUGGGAGACCAAAACUCUCCUUCCUUCCUUCCUUCCUCAGGAGCAGCUUCCCCUCCUCGGCAGCGAUUCCUGCCGGAGCCGUCACCCGCGGGCGAUCCAGAAAUGAAUCACGCCGGGAACGGGGGAAGGCGGCUCGGAUCAUUCCUAAAGCUGCUGUUCCAACCCCAUAAAACCCCGCGCAACAACAAGGGGCAUCCCAUCAUUCGUGUUAAUUCCGGAAUUGCUGCUAAUUCCGGCCCAAUUAGGAGAUAAAGCACGGCGCUGGAGACGCUUAUUAAAUUACAAAUCAUCCCGGCUAAA